Thalictrum thalictroides is the source of this 67-nucleotide non-coding RNA. The record is from the annotation of a GenBank genome assembly. NCBI's taxonomy places the organism in Eukaryota, Viridiplantae, Streptophyta, Magnoliopsida, Ranunculales, Ranunculaceae.
GUAGCUCAGUGGUAGAGCGAUCGGCUGUUAACUGAUUGGUUGUAGGUUUCUAUUGCAUUCUAUCUCA